RNAcentral lists this ribosomal RNA (655 nucleotides) under Scytodes lugubris. RNAcentral's name for it is "SSU rRNA". It matches the Rfam family "Eukaryotic small subunit ribosomal RNA", at positions 1011 to 1689 of the family's 1831-position model. The record is from RNAcentral. Lineage: Eukaryota; Metazoa; Arthropoda; Arachnida; Araneae; Scytodidae.
GAUACCGCCCUAGUUCUAACCAUAAACGAUGCCAACCAGCGAUCCGCCUGGGUUCCUCAAAUGACUCGGCGGGCAGCUUCCGGGAAACCAAAGUGUUUGGGUUCCGGGGGGAGUAUGGUUGCAAAGCUGAAACUUAAAGGAAUUGACGGAAGGGCACCACCAGGAGUGGAGCCUGCGGCUUAAUUUGACUCAACACGGGAAAACUUACCCGGCCCGGACACUGGAAGGAUUGACAGAUUAAGAGCUCUUUCUUGAUUCAGUGGGUGGUGGUGCAUGGCCGUUCUUAGUUGGUGGAGCGAUUUGUCUGGUUAAUUCCGUUAACGAGCGAGACUCUAGCCUACUAAAUAGGCGCUCCGAUCCCUUGCGUCGGACGCUCUUCUUAGAGGGACAGGCGGCGUCUAGCCGCACGAGACAGAGCAAUAACAGGUCUGUGAUGCCCUUAGAUGUCCGGGGCCGCACGCGCGCUACACUGAAGGAAUCAGCGUGUGCUCUCCCUGUCCGCUAGGACUGGGUAACCCGUUGAACCUCCUUCGUGAUAGGGAUAGGGGCUUGUAAUUGUUCCCCUUGAACGAGGAAUUCCCAGUAAGCGCGAGUCAUAAGCUCGUGUUGAUUAUGUCCCUGCCCUUUGUACACACCGCCCGUCGCUACCUCCGAU